CAUACACAAUGCUGUAUUUAGAACAGAUAACCAACAAGGACCUACUGUAUAGCACAUGGAACUCCGCUCAGGACUCUUUAAUAAGCCAGCUAGGAAAAUUUGAAAUAGACAUGUGUGUAUGUAUAACUGAACUACUCUGCUGUGUACCUGAAACACAGCACUGUUAAUCAGCUGUCCCCCAACUAAAAAAAAGCAGCAAAUUGGAUUAAAAGACAAAGAGUCUACAAGAGACCCACCUCAGUGCAAGGGAGACACGCAGAUUGGAAGUGAGAGGAGGGACAGAGAAAGACAGUUCCUGCAAACAACAAUGACAAGACAGCGGGGACUCCAAUACUUGGAGCCAGAUAAGCAGGCUUCAAAACCAAGGACAUAGAGAAAGUUAGAGAAGGAGACCAUACAAUGAUGAAAGGAUCAAUGCAAGAAGAGGAGUGUACACUCAUCAACAUAGAUGCAUCUAAUACUGGAGCACCCAAAUACAUAAAGGGAGAAAUUUACAGGAAUACAAUAAUAGUAGAGACUUUGACACCACACUCACAUCAAUGGACAGAUCUUCUGUCUAGACAGCAAAGCAACAAGGCAACAGAGACCCUAAAUGAUACAAUAGAACAAUUAAACAUAAUUGAUAUUUUCAGGACAUUACAUCCAGAAAAACUGCAGAAUGCACAAGAGUCAGAAAUAAACCUGACUAAGGAUGUGAAAGACUUACAUGCUGAGAAGUAUAAAACAUUAGUAAAGGAAACUGAAGAUGAGUCAACAAAAUGCCAGAGCAGAAAGGAUACAACUUAAUAUCCUAAAUAUCAUAAUUUGAGUCUGGGAACACCACCAACUUGUCCCUCUCGGAACCCAGCGGAAGGCGAAACUGGAGAUGACGUGAAGUCACGCAGCAGCUGAAAGAGCAGGAGGAACGGAUUCCACAUGCGAGGAGCCGGAGGGGCUGAAGCGACGCUGAACGGCGUGGACCCGACACUGCCUUACUGUAUGCUACAUUCUGGGGGGAAUGUAAGUACAGUGAAGGAGAAGACCACUGUGGGGUGAAGGUUAAGAAAGGAAUGGAAACGAGAGAGACAAGAACCUGAGCCGGAACGGAGAGCAGCACAGGGACAGGCCAUGGAGAUCCCC
Molecule: long non-coding RNA, 1119 nt
Organism: Cervus elaphus (red deer)
Lineage: Eukaryota; Metazoa; Chordata; Mammalia; Artiodactyla; Cervidae
Exons: 3
Source: RefSeq, a predicted model, not a curated record